AUGGUGAAGGAGGCGCCCACCACUCCGAGCGCCAAGGGCAAGGGCGCCGCGUCCGCGUCCGCGUCCGCCUCCGCCUCCGCGAAGACGCCGCCGUCCAAGGCCACCCCCGGAUCGGUCAGGCGCAAGAGGGCGUGUAAGAAGAAGAAGGCCGAUCCGGAGAAGCAGAAGGCGGCCGCCGCCGCUGCAGUCGCGGCCUCCGCCGACGCGCCUGCUUCGGGGCCCACGCCGGUGGUUCCCGCCCCGGCCGACGUCGGCACUUCGGCCGCCCUUGUGGUCGCCGAGAACGGCGGCGCCGACGGGAAGAUGGUCGCCAAGGCCAACGGUGAUGGCGAUAAGUCCGUCGCCAAGGACAACGGUGGUGGCAGUAAGUCCGUCGCCGAGAACAAGGGUGAUGGCACUAAGUCCGUCGCCAAGGACAAGGGUGAUGGCAGUAAGUCCGUCGCCGAGAACAAGGGUGAUGGCAGUAAGUCUGUCGCCGAGAACAAGGGUGAUGGCAGUAAGUCUGUCGCCGAGAGCAAGGGUGAUGGCAUUAAGAUGGGCACUGGGAACAGCAGUGCUGACAGGAAGAUGGGCACUGGGAACAGCAGUGCUGACAGGAAGAGGGGUAGGAAGGAUAAGAUGAGGGGGAGGGAGAAGGGGGAAGGACAGGGGAGGGUGAACCCGAAGGGGGAGGAGAAGGAGAAGAAGGACGACACAGCGGGGGAGGAGAGGGGCAGUGCUGGGUUUAUCUUCAUGUGCAAUGGAAAGACGAAGCCGGAGUGCUUCCAGAACAGCGUGUUUGGCUUGCCCAAGGCGAAGAUAGAUGUGGUGGAGAAGAUCCGACCAGGGGCGAAGCUGUUCCUGUAUGACUUUGACCUGAAGCUUCUCUAUGGGGUGUACAAGGCAACGGCAAGAGGAGGGAUGGAUCUUGUGCGACGUGCGUUCAACGGGAAAUUCCCUGCUCAGGUCAAAUUCAGGAUUGAUAAAGAUUGUCUUCCGCUUCCUGAGAGUAGUUUCAAGCAUGCCAUUAAGGAGAACUAUGAUUCAAAGGGAAAAUUCACCCAAGAGCUCAAUUCUAGACAAGUCCGUAAGCUACUGGCACUAUACAAGCCAAUUAACAUACAUCGGCCAUCUUCCCAACAUGUUCAAGAAGUUCCUCGGACAAACCGUGUUGAAAGGCUCCUGCCUCACUAUGUUGAAGAAAGGCGACAGCCAUAUGAUUAUGAAGAAAGGAGGCUGCCACGAUAUCAUGAAGAAAUGCAACACCCACAAUUUGCUGAGGAAAGGAGGUUAGCCUAUGAUUAUGAAGAAAGAAGGCCAUCACUCCAUGUUGAAGAAAUUCGACGCCCACAAUUUGUUGAAGAAGCUCAGCCACCUACAUACUAUCAUGUUGCUCCUGCUCCUCAUGGUUCAUACCAUCCACAUCAAGCUAAUAUCAUUUAUGAAAGGGCUCCAGCUGACGCCGCCAACAGGGUGGAUCCAUUCCUUCCAAGAGACUACAGGGUGCCGCCGCAGGAGGUCGCCGCGCACCCCAGCUACGCUGACGAGAUCUACCGUGGUGCUUACCCCGCCGCUCAGGACCUGUCCUACGCGGCCAGGCCUGCCGCUUACCCGGCAAACCUCCAGGGGCCUGCUGCUUCAAGGGUGCCGGUGUCCUCCCUCUACUCGUUCGCCGGCGCACCGGCGUACAGAUGA
RNAcentral lists this ribosomal RNA (1674 nucleotides) under Triticum aestivum (bread wheat). Its description in RNAcentral is "partial small subunit ribosomal RNA". The record is from RNAcentral. Lineage: Eukaryota; Viridiplantae; Streptophyta; Magnoliopsida; Poales; Poaceae.